This 344-nucleotide ribosomal RNA is filed under the name uncultured bacterium. Its description in RNAcentral is "bacterial SSU rRNA". It matches the Rfam family "Bacterial small subunit ribosomal RNA", at positions 18 to 344 of the family's 1533-position model. The record is from RNAcentral.
CAUGGCUCAGGACGAACGCUGGCGGCGUGCCUAAUACAUGCAAGUGGGACGCAAGGGAACACACUGUGCUUGCACACCGUGUUUUCUUGAGUCGCGAACGGGUGAGUAACGCGUAGGUAACCUGCCUAUUAGCGGGGGAUAACUAUUGGAAACGAUAGCUAAUACCGCAUAAUAUUAAUUAUUGCAUGAUAAUUGAUUGAAAGAUGCAAGCGCAUCACUAGUAGAUGGACCUGCGUUGUAUUAGCUAGUUGGUAAGGUAAGAGCUUACCAAGGCGACGAUACAUAGCCGACCUGAGAGGGUGAUCGGCCACACUGGGACUGAGACACGGCCCAGACUCCUACGG